RNAcentral lists this ribosomal RNA (609 nucleotides) under uncultured bacterium. Its description in RNAcentral is "bacterial SSU rRNA". It matches the Rfam family "Bacterial small subunit ribosomal RNA", at positions 338 to 948 of the family's 1533-position model. The record is from RNAcentral.
CCUACGGGAGGCAGCAGUGGGGAAUAUUGGACAAUGGGCGAAAGCCUGAUCCAGCAAUUCCGCGUGUGUGAAGAAGGCCUUCGGGUUGUAAAGCACUUUAGUGGGGGAAGAAACAGCUUGGCCACACCAAGCCUUGACGGUACCCCAAGAAUAAGCACCGGCUAACUCUGUGCCAGCAGCCGCGGUAAUACAGAGGGUGCAAGCGUUAAUCGGAUUUACUGGGCGUAAAGGGUGCGUAGGUGGCUAUUUAAGUCGGAUGUGAAAGCCCGGGGCUCAACCUCGGAAUUGCAUUCGAUACUGAGUGGCUAGAGUUCGGUAGAGGGCGGCGGAAUUUCCGGUGUAGCGGUGAAAUGCGUAGAUAUCGGAAGGAACAUCAAUGGCGAAGGCAGCCGCCUGGGCCUGGACUGACACUGAGGCACGAAAGCGUGGGUAGCAAACAGGAUUAGAUACCCUGGUAGUCCACGCCGUAAACGAUGAGAACUUGACGUUGGUUCGUUUUACGAAUCGGUGUCGCAGCUAACGCGAUAAGUUCUCCGCCUGGGGAGUACGGCCGCAAGGUUGAAACUCAAAUGAAUUGACGGCUGAGAGNGCGACGNGACACGAGGAGAG